RNAcentral lists this ribosomal RNA (469 nucleotides) under uncultured bacterium. RNAcentral's name for it is "bacterial SSU rRNA". It matches the Rfam family "Bacterial small subunit ribosomal RNA", at positions 328 to 794 of the family's 1533-position model. The record is from RNAcentral.
AACCCAGACUCCUACGGGAGGCAGCAGUGAGGAAUAUUGGUCAAUGGGCGGAAGCCUGAACCAGCCAAGUCGCGUGAGGGAAUAAGGCCCUACGGGUCGUAAACCUCUUUUGCCGGGGAGCAAGGGCCGGGACGAGUCCCGGUCCGGAGAGUACCCGGAGAAAAAGCAUCGGCUAACUCCGUGCCAGCAGCCGCGGUAAUACGGAGGAUGCGAGCGUUAUCCGGAUUUAUUGGGCGUAAAGCGUCCGCAGCCGGUUUAUUAAGUAUAGAAUAAAACUUCGGGGCUCAACCCCGUCUCGUUCUAUAAACUGAUAGACUAGAGUGUGGUAGAGGCAAGUGGAAUUUCUAGUGUAGCGGUAGAAUGCGUAGAUAUUAGAAGGAACACCAGUGGCGAAGGCGACUUGCUGGGCCAUCACUGACGGUCAGGGACGAAAGCGUGGGGAGCGAAUAGGAUUAGAUACCCCUGUACC